Molecule: small nuclear RNA, 105 nt
Organism: Acomys russatus (golden spiny mouse)
Lineage: Eukaryota; Metazoa; Chordata; Mammalia; Rodentia; Muridae
Source: RefSeq, a predicted model, not a curated record
AUGCUCACUUUAGUACCACAUAUACUAAAAUUGGAAUGAUACCGAGAAAAAUAAUAUGGUCCUAGCAAAGGUGACAUGCAAAUUCAUGAAACAUUCAAUGCUUUA